CUACCCCUCAAGCGCGGCUUGUGUGUUGGGCGCUGUCCCUCCCCUUCUUCGGGGGGACAGGUCUGAAAGGCAGUGGCGGCGUCGCGUCCGGUCCUCGAGCGUAUGGGGCUUUGUCACCCGCUCUGUGAGGAUCCGGCCGGGGCCUGUCUUACCCCCAAUCUUCUAA
RNAcentral lists this unclassified non-coding RNA (166 nucleotides) under uncultured Eurotiales. Its description in RNAcentral is "sequence contains ITS2". The record is from RNAcentral. Lineage: Eukaryota; Fungi; Ascomycota; Eurotiomycetes; Eurotiales.